This 214-nucleotide long non-coding RNA is filed under the name Capsicum annuum. RNAcentral describes it as "long non-coding RNA (CANN_LNC000788)". The record is from RNAcentral. Lineage: Eukaryota; Viridiplantae; Streptophyta; Magnoliopsida; Solanales; Solanaceae.
AUGAUAGAAGUGUUGACAUUCUUCAAUCACCGGCAUACCUCAGGGACGAUCGAAAAAGCAACCCAAGAGGAAUGAAGGGACCAAAGUGAAAGGUGUUUCACAGAAACUUACACAGUUUAACAGAAACGGGUUUACUGCUAGAUCCCCAAUCCAGCAUACUAUGAUUCCUUGACUGAGCUUGGGAAUUACUAGUCAGAAGACUUCGAUGGGAGCA